AGACUUCAGGGUCCCUUUCUCCUUCAGACUCCAGCCUUGUCUUCGCAGCCCUGUGCCCCGCUGCUCCUGGCUGUGAGCACCCCAAAUCGGGGCCGCGAUCCCUGGAUAGCAGCGGGUCCGCCGCGUAUCUCCCCUCACGGAGCGGUGUGUGCAGGGUGCUUCCACGCUUUGGUGCCUCAGGUUUCUCCUUAAGUGUUUAGUCGCCUGCUUUGCAAUCCCAGUGUCCAGAGGUCCCUAGCCUGAGUUCCUCCAGACCAUGGUUGACCUUGGGUAACUGAAAGUGUGGGAAGUGAAACCAAAAAAAGUGAAACUACGGGUAAGGGAGGACUACUCGACUACUCAUGUAUACAUUAAAUAAAAUGAAAAGAAGCUGUACUUAAGUGCCAGUUUGAGGACUGCAGUCAGUGGUGUCUGUGCUAGAGGAGGGGAAAAAUCAGUGUGCACCCGGUGAUUGAGGAAGACUUCCUGAAGGAGGAACCUGUUACAUUCAAGGAUGUGGCCAUGGACUUCACCGAGGAGGAGUGGGGGCAACUAGACCCUGCACAAAGGGCCCUGUACAAAGAGGUGAUGCUGGAGAUCUAUGGCAACCUGGUCUCAGUGGG
Molecule: non-coding RNA, 602 nt
Organism: Ceratotherium simum simum (southern white rhinoceros)
Lineage: Eukaryota; Metazoa; Chordata; Mammalia; Perissodactyla; Rhinocerotidae
Source: RefSeq, a predicted model, not a curated record